RNAcentral lists this long non-coding RNA (6420 nucleotides) under Populus trichocarpa (black cottonwood). RNAcentral describes it as "long non-coding RNA (PTRI_LNC004127)". Lineage: Eukaryota; Viridiplantae; Streptophyta; Magnoliopsida; Malpighiales; Salicaceae. The record is from RNAcentral.
GCAGCAUUUCAUAAUCUUCAGAAAUAUUAUAUCCUUCAAAACUGAUGAAACCAAAAGAUAGUUUAAAACUCUUCAUCAGUAAUUAAAACAAAAACAAUAAUCCAUAAUACUCAUUACAUUGUCAAAAAUCCAAACUUAAUUAAAACAAGGUAAUAGUGGAGCGCCUAAGACAUCGAAUCAAACAGCCUUGAAAGAUAAGCAAGGCAUACCGACCCAAAACUGAAGAAGCAGGAACACUCAACAAGGUUCACCUGCUAUCAGAAACUAAGAACCUGAAAUAAUAUUAAGAAUGAGGGGUGAGUUCAACCAACUCAGUGAGGGAAUAAUAAUUAAUAUACAUUUUAGAUAUUCUUGAUAUUUAUAGUUCGCAAGAUCAUUUAUCUUGAUAUACAUAUACAUAUACAUACUAAACUUAUCAUAUACAUAUCAUAUACAUACUAAACGUAUCAUCAUAACGUAGUGGACUAUAUGUCAGAGAUCAGAUGACACCCGAAGGUGACCAGAUGACACCCGAAGGUGACCAGACCAGAUGACACCCGAAGGUGACCACUGUGGGAUGAUCAGUCGCCACAGGCUGAUGCCUCUCUCACCAGCUAGGUAUACAUACAGAAUACUAUGUGCACACAGGCUAACUACUCUCCGUUAGCAUGGAGUUACUGACAAGUCCCAUAUCAAGGCAUAAUAGAUAUUCACAUAAUCAUCAAGAAACGUAUAUCAUAUCAAAUAGGAUUUACUUUGACAGAUUGCGAGUGCAAAUUCAAGAAUAAAUGAGUACUCGGAAAAUAAGCAACAUAUAUAAUUAUUCAAGGAAUUAACGAGUUGUACUCAUUGUAUAAUCAACAUACAUAUUUACUUAUCAUAUAUGCAUAUUAAAGAUUAUUCCACUCACCCGGAAAAUAUAGAACUAAAAGGAAUGUCAGACGAAAGACCCGAAAAUCCUAUUGAGGAUCGUUAGGAGAACCUACAACAAUACGAAAAUAUACUCAAAAGCAACUCAAACAAGAGAUCCCAAUGCAUAAAAGAAAACCAGGUUUAGUCUCCUAAGUUUAUGGACUAAAACGAUAAUUUUCCAAAACAGGGACCAAAACGUAAUUUUACCAAAAUUGGACCAAUCUGGAAAAUACAUAACUAUACUGAAUUUUCACCCAUAAACCAUCCUUAAUUCUGUCUAGAACGAACCAGGGACCGAACUGUAAUUUUCAUAAAGUUCAGGGACUAAAAUGUAAAUUCCCGAAAUUGAGGGACCAAACUGAAAAUAUUCCAAAUCAAUUAUCAAACUCAGAUUCAUCAUCCUUAACCUCAUAAUAACACUGUCCAGAAUCUCAAAAUACAAUUAGGGGUCAAAUUAUAAUUUUACCAAAGUUUAGGGACUAAAUUGUAAUUUCACAAAUUGAGGGACCAAAUUGAAUUUUCGUCAUCUUCAACCUCAAACCCAGAAUUUCACAGAUUACCUACUGUCAUCUUCUGAUUUCUAACACAAUUUCACCAUUCAAACAAAAUCAUAACUCAAAAUCAUCAUCUUUACCUCCAAUCUCUCACAAUCAACUAAUUAACCAAUUACCCACAACAAUCAACCCAUAACCUUCCAAUUAAUUCAUCAAUCAAACUCAAAACACAAUAUUCAAAACCCUAACAUUUAUCAAAACAGAACUUAAAGCUUAAAGAACACACAUUUAUACAUAAUCUUACCUUUAAACUUAUUUUCCUCUACUUCUCUCCCUUUUCCCUUCUCUUCCCCUCUUUUCUCUUCUUCUUCUUCCUCCUCCCUUCUCUCUCACGGUUUGCUCCUUCCAUUUUCAGAUCCCUCUUUCUUUCUUCUUCUUUCUUUUAUUUAUAUUUAUCAACUAUUGUUCAAUUACCACAAUACCCCUCAUUUAAUUAUACUUACUUCUAAGCCUCCAAGGGCUUGGUUGCCCUUUCCUACUAAUUUAUUUGCAAAACAUCACAAUCUCCCCACCUUAUAAAAGUUUCGUCCUCGAAACUUAAAAUUUAAGAACCAAAGUCUUACCAUCAUGAUCAAAUAAAUUAUUUAAAACUUAUCUCUAAAAUUGUAUUUCUUAAACUAUCAUUUAAAGUCCACUUAAAAAAAAAAUCAAUAUAUAGCACCAUGCUUUCGUUGCGCACUCUGAUAUAUCCACUGAAAAAAAUAUCUCAUGCAUAACUUUUCUUAAUUCAUAUCCCUCAAAAUCAAACAACACACCCUUCAAUUUCUCUUGAAUCAACUUUUCUCAAAUAACUUAUCUCAAAUCAUAUCUCUUCAAAAAUCAAAACGCAUCCUCAUAAUUUAUUUAUUUUUAAGCAUCAGGUAAAAGAAUUCAGCCUUAUAGUUGGGGAAUGUCAUGAAGUAACAGAGUCUAAUGAACAACAACAAUUAUGAGCUCAAACUUUCAAGAGGUAUCAAUCAUGGAGGAGAUUUCGCUUGCAAAAGCAAUAAGCGAUGAAGAUGAUAAGAUGUAUGUAGUUCUCUCAACCACCAUAACAACUAAAGAGUCAGAUGAAAUGAUAAAGACUAUAAAGGAGGAACAUAGUUGUUGUGACAAGAUUAAGGCAACAAUUAUGGUAAAGAUAACAAAAACCAGCUUGGAAGAAGCUUAGAUGGAUGAAAAGUUGUUAUAUGGUUUCAAUAUUACCUCAAAUGAUAGUGUUUCUCUUGAAAUUGAAGCAAAAACAUGUUUGAUAAGAAAAAAAAAAUCAAAGAUAACAUGGGACUUAAGAUACCCUACUUGAGAACUGAGGAUGCAUAGUAUAAGCAGUUUGGUGUGCUUCCGUCAUCACAUCUCUUUUCAAACCAUCCACCUCAGGCACACAUAACCUGGAACCAAAUCUCAACACACCAUCUUCAUGGAUAACAAAACCCGGAGCUCUCCCUAACUCCAACUCAUCUCUAAUCUUGCAAAGUCGCUCAUCCUUCAUUUGAGCUACUUUAAUUCGGUCUACCAAGUCUGACAUAGCCUGAAAGUGAGCCAACAAUGCUCCCGAUUCACAAAUCUCAAAACUGACCCUCUCAUCUAACAAUCAGUGUAACUCUUUAAUCAAAGGUCUCCUCACCUCCUGAAUAUGAGCCAAACUACCCAUAGAUUUUCUGCUUAAGGCAUCGGCAACAACAUUUGCCUUGCCCGGGUGAUAUUGAAUCGUGCAAUCAUAAUCACUUAACAAUUCCAUCCACCUUUUCUAUCUCAAAUUCAGAUCCUUAUGCUGGAAGAUAUAUUGAAGACUUUUAUGAUCUGAAAAUAUCUCACAUGUCUCCCCAUACAAGUAGUGUCUCUAAAUUUUAAGGGCAAACACUACUGCAACCAUCUCCAAAUCAUGUGUGGGGUAAUUUUGUUCGUGCUUCUUCAACUUUCUCGAGGCAUAAGCAAUCACAUUACCGUUCUGCAUCAAAACACAACCCAAACCAAUCCUGGAUGCAUCAUAGUACACGGUAAAACCACCAGACCCUGAAGAUACUGUUAAAAUAGGAGCUGUAAUUAACCUUUCCUUCAACUCCAGGAAACUCUUUUCACAUUCUUCUGACCAUUGAAACUUGACAUUUUUUUUUUUUUGUCAACUUAGUCAUUGGAGCAGCAAUUCAGGAAAAAUUCUCCACGAAUCUCCUGUAAUAUCAUGUUAAACCCAUAAAACUCCUAAUCUCAGAUAUUGUAACUGGUCUAGGCCACUGCUUAAUUGCCUCCACUUUUUGUGGAUCAACCUCUAUCCUAUUCUUGGACACUACAUGUCCCAGAAACCCAACAGUUUCUAACCAAAACUCACUCUUCAAGAAUUUUCCAUACAACUGAUGAUCUCUCAGAGUUUGAAGCACCAAUCUCAAAUGCUGCUCAUGCUCUUCUCUAGACCUCGAAUACACCAAAAUGUCAUCAAUGAACACAAUAACAAACUUAUCAAUAAACGGCCUAAAAACCCUGUUCAUCAUGUCCAUAAAAGCUGCAGGUGCAUUCGUUAACCCAAAAGACAACACUAGGAACUCGUAAUGCCCAUAACGAGUCCUAAAGGCAGUUUUAGGAACAUCCUCAUUCCUAAUCCUCAACUGGUGAUACCCCGAUCGCAAAUCAAUUUUUGAGAAACAUUGAGCUCUUUGUAAUUGAUCAAAAAGGUCAUCAAUGCGAGGGAGUGGGUAUUUAUUCUUAACAGUGACCUUGUUCAACUGCCUAUAGUCUAUACACAUCCUCAUUGAUCCAUCAUUGGGACCUCUAUGUUCACAUCAUGCACAUAAGCCAAAAACCCAUGCAUACCCUUCUGUACCAUCCUUCUCGUACCAUCCUUCUCGUGAUGGCCGGGAAAAUACUAGAUGGAGAUGAUACUUUAUCUUCAUGAAAAGCAAAUUUGUAUCCUCAUUAGGUUUGAAAGCUAUUAUCUUAUUCCAACAAUCAACUGAGACAUGGUGUCUUGACAACUAAUCCAUACCUAAUAUCACAUAAAAUGCUCACUAUUUCUAAAAGUACCAAAUCACCCAAUUUUAGAUAAGUAUAUUAAUCAACAUAUAGAUCAUAAUCAAAAGCCUAUAAUAACAACCUUCAUAAGUAAUUCUCCAAUAACAGUCUCAUCAUCCAUAACUAAUUAAUCAUAUUUCAACUUUCUCCUGCAUUUAAAAUCUAUAUUUCUGAAAUAAAAAUAUUGCGGAAAGAGAUGAGCGUCCACGACUCAAAAAGUAAUCAAAAUAAACACACCCAGAAAAAUAUUAUCAAACACAAAUUUUUCAUUGAAUAUUGUCAACGAUAUAUAUAUCAUAGAAAAAGAUUAUUAGACAUAUUUUUCAGAAUACUUACCAAAGAUAACACAUAUAGAUAUAAAUAUGAUGUAAAAUCAGAUUUAAAUACAAAAAUACUAUAAGUUGUUCAAUUACUUAAAAGCACAUACUUACAUUCAAUAUACACUCACUAACAUGAUUUGCACAUAUACAUACUUUUAGAGCACUACAAAUCAGAAAAUCAGCUCAUUUACAUAUAUUAUAUAUACUUCCAAAAAAAAUAUAUUUAUACCAAAUACUUAUGCUUAAGUAUUUUCAAGAAAUAUUAUUACUCAAAUACACGUUUUAUGCAAAUACUUUCAAAGAUAUACUUAUAUCAAAUAUUCACACACACAAGUAUAUGCAAAACACGUAUACCACAUAUAUUAUAUCCAAGAAUAUACUUAUAUCAAAUAUUGUCAGCCAUGUAUGAAAAACACAUAUUAUACAUAGUAUAUCCAUUGAUAUAUUUAUAUCAACCAUUCACAUAAUAUAUAUUUCCCCACAUGUAUAUCAACACGGCAAUAAAAAAAAAAGUUCAAAGAAGACAAUGAGGAAUCACAAUAAGACAAGAAGGAUCCUAAGCUCCACAUAUUACAAGUUUUUUUUUUUUUAAAAAAAAGGACCAAGUUUUAACAAAACCAAGCUACAGGGAUUUAACAAGAACCUGGCUCUGAUACCACCUUUGUAACGACCCGAAUCCCGGGUCCAUGACCGGCAACGCAGGAGCGGUGCCGGAAGGACACCCCGCCCGCGCUAAGCCUCAAAACGAACAUAUCAAAAGAAUAAUUUAUUCAAAAAUACGCAGCAUUUCAUAAUCUUCAGAAAUAUUAUAUCCUUCAAAACUGAUGAAACCAAAAGAUAGUUUAAAACUCUUCAUCAGUAAUUAAAACAAAAACAAUAAUCCAUAAUACUCAUUACAUUGUCAAAAAUCCAAACUUAAUUAAAACAAGGUAAUAGUGGAGCGCCUAAGACAUCGAAUCAAACAGCCUUGAAAGAUAAGCAAGGCAUACCGACCCAAAACUGAAGAAGCAGGAACACUCAACAAGGUUCACCUGCUAUCAGAAACUAAGAACCUGAAAUAAUAUUAAGAAUGAGGGGUGAGUUCAACCAACUCAGUGAGGGAAUAAUAAUUAAUAUACAUUUUAGAUAUUCUUGAUAUUUAUAGUUCGCAAGAUCAUUUAUCUUGAUAUACAUAUACAUAUACAUACUAAACUUAUCAUAUACAUAUCAUAUACAUACUAAACGUAUCAUCAUAACGUAGUGGACUAUAUGUCAGAGAUCAGAUGACACCCGAAGGUGACCAGAUGACACCCGAAGGUGACCAGACCAGAUGACACCCGAAGGUGACCACUGUGGGAUGAUCAGUCGCCACAGGCUGAUGCCUCUCUCACCAGCUAGGUAUACAUACAGAAUACUAUGUGCACACAGGCUAACUACUCUCCGUUAGCAUGGAGUUACUGACAAGUCCCAUAUCAAGGCAUAAUAGAUAUUCACAUAAUCAUCAAGAAACGUAUAUCAUAUCAAAUAGGAUUUACUUUGACAGAUUGCGAGUGCAAAUUCAAGAAUAAAUGAGUACUCGGAAAAUAAGCAACAUAUAUAAUUAUUCAAGGAAUUAACGAGUUGUACUCAUUGUAUAAUCAACAUACAUAUUUACUUAUCAUAUAUGCAUAUUAAAGAUUAUUCCACUCACCCGG